GUGGCAGGCGGCUGAGGGAGGGAUAUAAACAGGACAGAGCGCGGUCAGAGUGUAAGCUAGGACAAGGGAAUGCGGAAUGCCGGGAGGCUGGGGCCUUUGGUCAGGAGCACAGACAGGAAAACCAGGACCCUCCUGGCCCAGGAUCUUCACCACAGGUCCGAUACAAUGGAAAGAAGUGGAAACUGCUUUCUGGCCAGGAAUACACUGGGCGCGCUCCGUGUGCGUUCCCUGGAAGCCUGAACCGGCACGGAAAAUCAAAG
Brienomyrus brachyistius is the source of this 260-nucleotide long non-coding RNA. RefSeq lists it as uncharacterized. The transcript has 3 exons. NCBI's taxonomy places the organism in Eukaryota, Metazoa, Chordata, Actinopteri, Osteoglossiformes, Mormyridae. The record is from RefSeq and is a predicted model, not a curated record.